Apaloderma vittatum (bar-tailed trogon) is the source of this 83-nucleotide non-coding RNA. The record is from Rfam. NCBI's taxonomy places the organism in Eukaryota, Metazoa, Chordata, Aves, Trogoniformes, Trogonidae.
GGCCAGUUAGCUCAGUGGUUUGAGCGUGGUGCUGACCACAAGGACCAACACCGAAGUCGCAGGUUCGAUUCCCGCUCGGUCCC